GACGAACGCUGGCGGCGUGCUUAACACAUGCAAGUCGAACGGUGAAGGGACCAGCUUGCUGGUUCUGGAUGAGUGGCGAACGGGUGAGUAACACGUGAGUAACCUGCCCCCUUCUUCUGGAUAACCGCAUGAAAGUGUGGCUAAUACGGGAUAUUCUGGGUCUGUCGCAUGGCGGGCCCGGGAAAGAUAUUGCUUCGGUGGGGGAUGGGCUCGCGGCCUAUCGGCUUGUUGGUGGGGUGAUGGCCUACCAAGGCGGGGACGGGUAGCCGGCCUGAGAGGGUGGACGGUCACACUGGGACUGAGACACGGCCCAGACUCCUACGGGAGGCAGCAGUGGGGAAUAUUGCACAAUGGGCGCAAGCCUGAUGCAGCGACGCCGCGUGAGGGAUGGAGGCCUUCGGGUUGUAAACCUCUUUCGCCAGUGAAGCAGGCCUGCUCCUUGUGGGUGGGUUGACGGUAGCUGGAUAAGAAGCGCCGGCUAACUACGUG
Molecule: ribosomal RNA, 489 nt
Filed under: uncultured bacterium
Lineage: Bacteria
Description: partial 16S ribosomal RNA
Rfam family: Bacterial small subunit ribosomal RNA
Source: RNAcentral